This is a non-coding RNA of Paramuricea clavata, 571 nucleotides long. The record is from the annotation of a GenBank genome assembly. Lineage: Eukaryota; Metazoa; Cnidaria; Anthozoa; Malacalcyonacea; Plexauridae.
UGACUAUUCGCUCUGACAGUGGCGUAGCUAGCGGUCCCGCUGUCCCACCUGGCGGGACUAACAAUUUGCAAAAAAAUGAGGAAAUGUUUUAUAGUGAAGCUUUGCUUAUUCUGAACAUUUAAAUACUAAUUAUGAUCAUUUUUCAGUGCUUUCAUUUGUCAUUUAUUUAAAGUUUACGCAAUAUUGACCUCUUUGUUGUCUAGCAACUGAUACCCUGCAGAAUUAGCUAAUUUCCACGCAAUUUAUUGCUUACUCACGCAUUUCGUGAAUCGCAUGUCUCGUGUUCCGCUGAUUUUCAUGUGGCGGAAUAUGCAAAUUCUGGUUUCUGGUUGGAUAAUUGGCGCAGCGCAUGCCCAGAACGGUUGUUUUCAUUGCCGAAGUCCGCUAUUUUAUGAAGGCGGAGGUUGUUAAUAUUCAAACCUUUCUCACGAAGCUUUCUGCGCGAGUAUUCACGACUGGGCUAUCUUUAAAACAGGGAAUCCGGGAAUCGGGGAAUCCGGGAAUCAGGGAAUCGGGGAAUCCGGGAAUCGGGGAAUCCGGGAAUCGGGGAAUCCGGGAAUCGGGGAAUCCG